The sequence is a ribosomal RNA, 545 nucleotides long. It matches the Rfam family "Eukaryotic large subunit ribosomal RNA", at positions 62 to 648 of the family's 3401-position model.
AAACCAACAGGGAUUGCCUUAGUAACGGCGAGUGAAGCGGCAAAAGCUCAAAUUUGAAAUCAACUAACAAGUUGAGUUGUAAUUUGUAGAUUGUUUUUUGAGUCAUUUGAUUAAAGUUAGUUGGAAUACUACGCCAUUGAGGGUGACAGCCCCGUUUAUCAUUUUCUCAUUUUAAAAAACUUUCAAAGAGUCGAGUUGUUUGGGAAUGCAGCUCUAAGUGGGAGGUAAAUUCCUUCUAAAGCUAAAUAUUGGCGAGAGACCGAUAGCGAACAAGUACUGUGAAGGAAAGAUGAAAAGAACUUUGAAAAGAGAGUGAAAAAGUACGUGAAAUUGUUAAAAGGGAAGGGUAUUUCGUUAGUCGUGGGUUUGUUGUUCAAUUGAUUUUCGGAUUAAUCCACUCAACAAGCCUAGGUCAAGAUGGGAAUUUGAAGGUUGAAAAAAGUUUAGAAAUGUGGCUCUCUCGAGUGUUAUAAUCUAUCCCAAUAAACCUCCCAAAUUCUCAGGUCUGCGUUCUCUCGGAUCUUGACUUAAUAACUAAAUACCAC